CCCUUAGAUGUUCUGGGCCGCACGCGCGCUACACUGUUCGACGCAGCGAGUCUUAACCUUGACCGAAAGGUUUGGGUAAUCUUCAGCAAAGUCGAACGUGAUGGGGAUCGAUCAUUGCAAUUAUUGAUCGUGAACGAGGAAUUCCUAGUAAGUGCAAGUCAUCAGCUUGCGCUGAUUACGUCCCUGCCCUUUGUACACACCGCCCGUCGCUACUACUGAUUGGACGUUUAAGCAAGAUUUUUAAACACUGACAGUGUGUAGUUCACGCUAUACUACAGUGAGAAGAAGAAGAUCGAGCUUACUUGUCUAGAGGAAGUAAAAGUCGUAACA
This 330-nucleotide ribosomal RNA is filed under the name uncultured eukaryote. Its description in RNAcentral is "partial 18S ribosomal RNA". It matches the Rfam family "Eukaryotic small subunit ribosomal RNA", at positions 1470 to 1796 of the family's 1831-position model. The record is from RNAcentral.